ACGCAACGCGAGGAACCUUACCUAGGCUUGACAAUGUGGUGAGUAGCGAACCGAAAGGGGAGCGACCCGUCAAAUCGGGCCAGUCACACAGGUGCUGGCAUGGCUGUCGUCAGCUCGUGCCGUGAGGUGUUGGGUCAGUCCCGCAACGAGCGCAACCCUCGCCCUUUGUUGCCAUCGGGUAAAGCCGGGCACUCUAAGGGGGACUGCCAGCGACAAGUUGGAGGAAGGAGAGGAUGACGUCAAGUCAUCAUGGCCGUUUAUGCCUAGGGCCACACACGUGCA
This 282-nucleotide ribosomal RNA is filed under the name uncultured bacterium. RNAcentral describes it as "partial 16S ribosomal RNA". It matches the Rfam family "Bacterial small subunit ribosomal RNA", at positions 954 to 1225 of the family's 1533-position model. The record is from RNAcentral.